RNAcentral lists this ribosomal RNA (500 nucleotides) under uncultured bacterium. Its description in RNAcentral is "bacterial SSU rRNA". It matches the Rfam family "Bacterial small subunit ribosomal RNA", at positions 28 to 525 of the family's 1533-position model. The record is from RNAcentral.
GAUGAACGCUAGCGGGAGGCUUAACACAUGCAAGUCGAGGGGUAAAUGGUAGCAAUACUAUGAGACCGGCGGACGGGUGCGUAACGCGUAUGCAACAUACCUUUAGCAGGGGGAUAGCCCGUGGAAACGCGGAUUAAUAUUCCAUAGUCCAGCAGUAUCGCAUGGUACCACUGGUAAAGAUUAAUCGGCUAAAGAUUGGCAUGCGUCUGAUUAGUUAGUUGGUAGGGUAACGGCCUACCAAGGCGACGAUCAGUAGGGGUUCUGAGAGGAUUACCCCCCACACUGGUACUGAGACACGGACCAGACUCCUACGGGAGGCAGCAGUGAGGAAUAUUGGUCAAUGGGCGGAAGCCUGAACCAGCCAUCCCGCGUGAAGGAAGACAGCCUUACGGGUUGUAAACUUCUUUUCGUCAGAAGAAUAAGCUUGUCGAGACGAGUGAUGCCGGUAUGACAGGAAUAAGCAAUCGGCUAACUCCGUGCCAGCAGCCGCGGUAAUCAUA